RNAcentral lists this long non-coding RNA (540 nucleotides) under Pan troglodytes (chimpanzee). RNAcentral describes it as "long non-coding RNA NONPTRT014683". The record is from RNAcentral. Lineage: Eukaryota; Metazoa; Chordata; Mammalia; Primates; Hominidae.
GGUCUAGUGGUGAGGCCAUUAGCUGGCUCUCACUCUCUUCUGUUAGGGGAGAUAUGCAGGAACCCUUAACUCCAAGAGGCAGAAGAGCCUGGGUGGAUGUGAGAGGAAGGGGGAUCAGAGGGAGAGGAAGCAGGAAGGUUACUGCUAAGUUCUGACUCAAGGGAAGCAGUUUCAGGCAGAGUUAAGGAAGUCAAAGGUUUCUUUCUAGGUAGAGAAGCCCAGUUCAUCAGCCUAUGAAAGAACACUGGAAUUUAGAACACAAACUCCUUCUAGGGUGUAAUGAUUGUACACUGGUUAGUGUUACUUAGUACUGUAUUUCUAAGGAAACCGAGCUUGCUGAUGGGACAGAAGAGGGAGACAAUUUUCAACGUCAUUUUCCUCUAACUGUAUGGUCUCUCUCACAGGUAUACAAGGACCCCAGAACCUUAACACAAUUCUGAGGUGGAAGAAAUGGGGAACACCAGGCCUGGCCUCAUGGAGACCGGGGAGUCAGAACCUGAGGUGAGUUGAAAAAAAGACAAAGGGACACCUCUUACCCCA